UACGUCACUUGUUUGGUUCUCUUCCUUUACUCGACGCGCCGAUGGCCGCUGCUCUCCUUAACUCCCCGCUCUCAAUCUCUACGCAAAAUCCCAAGAAAACACUAGGGAUUCCUCGGCAAGAUUUCCCUCUUCUCAACCCUCGCUUUUCCCUCUUUGAUCGCAGAAAACUGCUAUCGUCGCCGUUCUCCUUCUCAUCUCUUAUCCUCUCUAAAAGAAAUGGCGUCUUGAACCGGCUGCAAUCAGUUUCUGGCGGCCAUGUUUCCGCGAUUCCUGUUGAAUCGAAAAACUAUGAGUUCUCCGAUGGUGAUGCAGACGUAGAACUGAGACUUGAUAUUAGUAAAUUAGAUAUCAUGAGCCCCAGUGAUAUUUUUGUGGACAUGGAUGAGACUUCGUUAUUAGUUAGAGUAAAAGCUUCUGGGACUCUCAUAACUCUUAUGGAAACAAAUUGUUUGUUUGAGAGGAUAAAGCCUUCUGAAACUAUAUGGUAUAUAGAUGAGGAUCAGCUAGUAGUUAACCUGAAAAAGUGUGACAGAGAUUUAAAGUGGCCUGAUGUGAUGGAAUCCUGGGAGUCUCUUACAAAAGGAAUCCUGCAAUUACUGAAAGGAACUUCAAUCUACAUUGUUGGAGAUUCCACAGAGAUAAAUGAAAACGUUGGCAGUGAACUUGCAACUGGAAUUGGAUACAUUCCAUUUAGUACAAGUGACUUGCUGGAGAGAUAUGCUCAACAAUCUAUUGAGUCAUGGGUUGUUUCAGAUGGAGUAGAUUCUGUUGCUGAAGCUGAAGGUUCUAUAUUGCAAAGUCUUAGUAGCCAUGCCCGAAGCGUUGUUGCAACUCUAGGAGGAGAGCAUGGAGCUGCUAGAACACAUGAUAAGUGGCGGUACCUUCAUGCAGGAUUCACUGUUUGGUUGUCCAUAUCUGAAGCAGCAGAUGAAGCUUCUGCUAAGGAGGAGGCCAGAAGGCAUGUACAAGACGGAAGGCUUGCUUAUUCAAAUGCUGAUAUAGUUAUGAAGCUUGGUGGAUGGGAACCAGAUCAGUCGCGAGUUGUUGCUCAGGCUUGUUUAAGUGCACUGAAACAAUUAACCCUGUCAGACAGGCAGCUUACAGGUAAGAAGAGUCUUUACGUCAGAUUAGGGUGUCGUGGAGAUUGGCCAGACAUCAAGCCCCCAGGAUGGGAUCCAUCAAGUGGAGUACACCCUCCUGAGUCCUAAAAAAGCAAUCACGGGAUCUUGUGAUCUCUUCUCGUUAAGAGAAAAGUCGAAGUUCCAACGAGAACAUGCAUUGAGAGAUUGUUCCCCAGAAGUAAAUACAAGAAGAAUAGACACUCAGCCAGCAUUAUUAUGCUGUCAUCGCCUUAGUGGUCGGGUGAGUGGAAACCACAAAGGGUUGUGGCAACUUUUUAUCUUUUUCUCAUUCUUCCAUGCUUAUUUAUACACAAAGAUUGUAGAAUUGCGGCCAUCAAGCAGUGUCUCGGCUUGUGCUUGAUGGUGUUUCGCACCUUUCCCACCCAGGGAGGGAGGGAGACAAUUUUAUUUGAGGGAUGAUACCCACGAGACGUGGACUGUGCCCUCCA
RNA transcript from Musa acuminata AAA Group (dessert banana), 1570 nucleotides. It is a transcript of the gene named probable inactive shikimate kinase like 2, chloroplastic, with no coding region annotated. The transcript is spliced from 9 exons. The record is from RefSeq and is a predicted model, not a curated record. NCBI's taxonomy places the organism in Eukaryota, Viridiplantae, Streptophyta, Magnoliopsida, Zingiberales, Musaceae.